CGCUCACCUUGCUUGACACACUUGAGCCGGAGGGGGUCCUUGCAGUGCUUGAUCACCGCCAGCACGUCCCUGAUGGUGAGCCCCGCCACCGGGGUCUCGUUCACUUCCAGCAGCAGCUCCUCCGACGCCAACUUGCUGCCGCUCUCAUAGACCACCUUGCCGGGCUUCACCUCCCCCAGAGUUCGCAGAACCCCCUCUCAGAGGAGCGGAAAGUUGGAGAGCUGGAGGCAGCGCGCCCUGACGGCCGGGAGAGGUGGCGGCGGCACAUUCCCCGGUGCAGGCCCAGCGGGGGCGCGGGGCGCACACCCCGACUACGAGGAGGGCGAUUUGAGUGGCGAACCGGCUCAACUUUUACUGUGAGAGCAAAGGAAGAAAGAGGUUCCUGGAAAGGGGUGAGGGGCGCGCGGAAGGUGGCGUAGAGCGGCCUCCUCAGGGAAAUACAGAAUUUAACCCAAGAACUGCGACGAAGAAAGGGGCACCCCCGAGCCUCAGGGGCUUGUACCCAGAGAACUUUAAGAUGACUUGACCCGACAUUCCCUGCUCCGGAGAGCAAAAGAAGGACCUGAGGGCGAACACAGCGCGUGAUGGGGCUGGAACGCCGCUCGCUGCCACCCGGACUCUUCCUGUCACCAACUUUGCAGCCAGAAGGAAAGCCUAGAGCACAACUGAAGAAGAAGAAGUCAUCUUGCCCACAUGAUUUGACUAGCAUGAAGAUAAAGGCUUUCCUGCGAGGUUAAUGGAGCAAAAUGACAGAAGGGACUUAGACUCCCUUUCUUCGGACUUCUUGUUUUGUGAGGAAAAUAAAAAUGCUAUUACAAGGUCAAACAGUUAUUGGCUUAUAUUUCAUGCAUCUAAAUACAUCACAAUUCAUAUAACAUAUAAAUUGUAACAGCAGUCUUUUGAAAUUUUUGAAAUUGAGAUAACAUUGGCUAACAACACUGAAUAUGAUUAAGUGAAAUAGAUUCAUGUAUCUUCAGAUGUAUGUUACCACAGCACACCCACCAUCAAAACACCAUAAUCUCCCUCCAUAGACCACUGCUCCCCCUCCCACCUUUGUUUACAUUUCCCAUCUCUCCCCUUCUAGUAGGCUCAACUCUACAGUCAUAUCUUAUGGGUUUUGAUUUAGUUUUAUCUGUUCUUUUUUCGUUUUCUUUAUAUUCGCAUAAGAGUGAAAAUAUUUUGAAGUGACAAGAUUUCAUCUCUUUAUAGCUGAGUAGUAUCCCAUUGUGAAUAUGUACGACGUCUUCUUAAUCCACUUAGUGGUCCUUGGGCAUUUUGGUGGCUUCUAUAAUUUGAAUAUUGUAAAUAGCGCUGCAGUUAACAUAGGGGUGCAUAUAUACCUUUGUGUUACUGUUUUUGCAUUCUGUGAUUAUGUAUCAAGGAGUAGAAUUGCUAGAUAAUAUGUUAUAUCUAUUUUUAGUAUUUGGAGGAAUGACCACAUAUUGUUUUCCAUAAGGACUGGACCAGUCUACAUUUCCACCAAUAGCAUACAAAGUUUACUUUUUCUCCAAACCCCUGCUAACACAUUUCUGGGUUUUUGAUGUGAGCCAUUCCUCACAAAUAUGAAUUGGUAUAUAAUGUUAGUUUUGACUGCAUAUCCCUGAUAAGUAGUAUUAAAUUUUUUUUGUUUAUGUGCCUUUGGUCAUCUGUGGGUAUUCUGUGACGUGUCUAUUUAGCUUUUCUUCCUAUCUUUUGAUUGGGUUGUUUGUUUUCUUUUUCUUGAUAUAUGAAUUCUUUGUAGAACUUGAGUAUUAUCCAUACAUUGGAUGUAUGAUAUACAAUUAUUUAUCCCAUUUGGUAGAUUGUCUUUUGUUUUAUGACAGUUUUAUUUUACUGUGAAAAAUCUUUUUAGUUUGAUAUAGUCUCAUUUGUUUAUUUUUGCUUUCCUUUCUCUUGCCAUUAAGUGCUCAAAGUCAUCCCUGAGGCCACUGAUUUGGAAAAUGUUGCCUAUGACUUCUCCUAUGUAUUUUGUAAUUUCAGGACUUACAUCUAAUUCUUUAAUCCAAUUUGAGUCCAUUUUUGUGAAUUAUAUGAGAAAAUCGUCUAGUUUCAUUUUAUUGCAUGUGAUAGUCUAAUUUUCCCAGUGCCAUUUGUUGAAGAAACUUUCCUUUUUUCCACUGAUAUACUUGAGAUCUUUGUCCUAGAUUAACUGUAAUCAUAUAAGUUUGGGUUUAUUUCUGGAUGAUCAGAUCUAUUCCAUUGGUCUGUGAGUCUAUUUUUAUGCCAAUACCAUUGUUUGUUUUACUUCCUUCUUUGAUAGGUCAUUAUUUGCAUAUAAGAGUGCAAUAGACUUUUACAUAUUGACUUUGUACCCUUUAACUUUUCUGUUUUAAUGUUCCUAAUAGUUUUUUAGUGUAGUAUUAGGAUUUUAUAUGUAUAUUAUUUUGUCUUCUGCAAGUAGUGAUAGUAUUCUCUCCCAAUUUGGAUAUUUUUUCUUUCUCUUGUGUAAUUACUCUAGCUAAUAUGUACAAUACUAUGUUGGGUAGUAAUGGUGAGAGUGAACAUCCCUGUCAUGUCCCUAAUCUUAGAGGAAAAGCUUUCAGUUUUUCAACAGUGAGUAUGAUGGUAGCUGGGUUUGCCACAGAAGACUACUAUAUUGAGGUAUGUCCCUGCUAUGCCCAUUUUGGGGGAUAGUUUUUAUAAUAAAUGAAUGCUGAAUCUUAUCAAAUAUCAUUUCUGCAAUUGUUGAUAUUAUUAUAUGAUUUUUGUCUUUCCUUUUGUUUAUAUGGUGAAUUACAUUGAUUUAUUUGCAUAUGUUAGACCAUCCUUGCAUCCCUGGGAUAAAUUCCUGGUCAUGAUGUAUGAUCCUUUUAUUAUUGAAUUCAUUUCACUAAGAUGUUGAGGUUUAUUGCAUACACCUUAAGGAACUAGAGAAAGAAGAGCAAAUGAAAUAAAAAUUCAUCAGAAGAUAUUAAUUAAAAAAAAGAGUGAAAAUAUACAAAAUAAAAAUCUAAAAGACAUUUCAAAAUAUCUGUGAAAAUAGUAGCUGGUUCUUUUAAAAAUAAUAAGCAAAAGAGAUAAAACUCUAGCUAGAAUCACUAAGAAAAACAAGAAAACUCUAGUAAGUAGAAUCGGAAAGGGGAGAAGUUACAGCAGACAUCACAGAAAUACAGAGAACCAGAAGACACUACUGUGAGCAUGUUAUGCCAGCAAAUUGGAAAAUCUGGAUAAAUGCACAGAUUCUUAGACACAUACAACCUUCUGAGACUGAAUCAGGAAAAAAUACAAAAUCCGAACAAACCAUUUAUAAAAAAGGAGAUUGAAACAAUAAUCAAACAGUAAUCAAAAGUCUCCCCAAAACAAAGACCCAGGACCAGAUGGUGUCACUAGUGAGUUUUGCCAACCCUUCAAAGAGAAACUCACGCUUACCCUUCUCAAACUGUUCCAAAAAAUUAAAGAAAAUGAAUGCUUCCCAACACUUUAAAAGUAUGCAUUUUAAAUGAUUAUUCUCAUGGAUUAAGGCUUAAAGUUUAAGACUUACAGACAUGUAACCAAUCAAAUCUCAGAAACAUUAUAGUUCUUUAAGUAUUUGUGAUCCCCUAGAGUGAUAUAUAAAUUGAAUGCAAUUCCCACAAAAAUCCCAGUAUAUUUUUCAAAGAAAUAGCGGAUAUUGUUGAAUUUAUCUGUAACCACCUAAAGCCUUGAAUUGGAGAGAAACCCUGAGAAAAAGGGAGAAAUAACAGUAUCAUACCACCGGACUUAAAACCUUACUAUAAAGCAAUCAUAUUAAAAACAGUAUAAUAUUGGUACAAAAAACAGAUAUAUGGGCCAAUGGAACAGAGUAAAAGUCUAGAAAUAAUUCCAUUUACAUACUAGCAUCUGAUCUACGAUAAAGCAUCCAAGACGAUAAGAUCAGGAAAAGACAGUCUCCUUAGUUAAUGAAAAAUUGAAAGCCACACAUAAAACAAUGGCAUUGGGUUAUUUGCUUACACCAUAC
Long non-coding RNA from Talpa occidentalis (Iberian mole), 3937 nucleotides. RefSeq lists it as uncharacterized. The transcript has 3 exons. The record is from RefSeq and is a predicted model, not a curated record. Lineage: Eukaryota; Metazoa; Chordata; Mammalia; Eulipotyphla; Talpidae.